Parus major (Great Tit) is the source of this 621-nucleotide non-coding RNA. Lineage: Eukaryota; Metazoa; Chordata; Aves; Passeriformes; Paridae. The record is from the annotation of a RefSeq genome assembly.
GGACACCGGGACAGCGCCCUCGGGCCGUGCUCGCUCCCUGCCCGAUUGCUGCGCUCUCCCUCCGCAGGGCUCUGGGCACAGCCGAGGCUGCAGGAGGCCGGCGGAGGGCUGCGAGCGCCCGGGGACUCCGUCACCCUCUCCUGCCGAGGAUCCGGCUUCACCUUCGAGAAUCAUUAUGUUCGGUGGUACCGGCAGGCACCCAGAGGCAGAUUCGAAUGGGUGUCCUGGAUAAGCCAUUACUCAUCCCAGAUUCAGUUUGGGUCCGCAGUGGAAGGUCGAGCCACAGCCUCCAGGGACAAUUCCCGAUCUGUGGCAUCUCUCAGCCUGCACCUCCUCCAUGCUGGGGACCGUGCCCUUUACUUCUGUGCUGUUCGCACUUACACAUUUUAACUGUGUGUUACCGCUGCUCUUGUCUUUGGGAAAGGAACUCAACUGACUGUGGAGCCAAACAUUCCAAAAACUUCUCUCCCUCAAAUCAUUGUGAUGAAAUCAAGGAAACUGAAAGAAGGUGGCAGCACUGGGAAAGCAGCUUGUUUGGCAAGGAACUUCCUUACAAAGAACAUCAGCUUGGAGAUGCCUGCUACGGAGGUCGUGUAUGAACAGAGCACAUCCAUUUUGACA